UUUUAGAAUUCGACUCUGAGAACAUUUUGUUGGCAAAUACGUCUUCAAAACAAUUCAGAACCAAAUUUAACCAAAUCCAAACAGUCUGGCAAGCCACUUGGGUUUAGGUAGACAGGGGAGUAUUGUUUAGGGUAGCAGUAAAACUCAUUAAAAGAAAAAGCCCUGGUCAAGAGAACAGACUCUCUGGGCUGACUGCAGAGCCAACAUUCCACAUUCCAGUGAGGUCAAUUCAAUUGUCUUGGGGAGGACCCACCCCUAGGCAGGCAGGCUGGCUCACCUUAAGCCAGGCUGAAGAGAUAGGCAGAAUACACUUUCCUUUAGUGCCUGCCUAUGGCCUGAGUCAGGAAGACACCUCUUUUUCCUUUUUCAUUUUUCCUGUCUCUGAUGCUGGCCAUAACCUAAGCAUGCCUUCUCUCAUGCUUUGGGCACUCUUACUGUUUCCCUAAAGCUUCCGUCUGCGCCGCACUGCCACCGUAAGCCCCGUACCAGUUUACACAGCCCCUUGGUUUCUCUGUCACCCUCCUCUGGGUCACUGCUGAGAUUUGCAGCUCGUCUGCCCUGGGAGCUUUUCUUUUAAACUCUCAUAAAAUUGUCCUUGCGCUUCUGUUUGAAUCCAUUCUUAAAUCAUUUUACCAAUGAAACUAAGAGCCUAAAGUGAUGGCCUCAGUUUCCCCUGUAUUAUUACGCGACAGAAGGAACUCCCUCGAAUUCCCGGAACAGUAUCGAAUCAUUCCCUGUAAAAGAUCACAUUUUCUUGGAGAGCUAAUAGCUUUGGGGCUUGCUUUGAAAUCAAAUAUUUGCCCAAAGCGGUAGGCAAGCACAUGGCUGUUAGGUUUGCCAGACAGUUAGUCACGGUAACUUGCUCAGCCUGGUUACCUAGAGGGUGAGCCUGUAGCAGAAUGUGAAUGAUACAGGGUUCAGCCAAUCAAAGCCUCGCGCACAGUUACUGAGUGAGGAGGGGCUCAGGUGCCAACCAGAGGCGAUAACACACCAGGACCCUGGAGUCACUGGAAUGGAGUUUGGAGAAAUUCCAGAUAUGACAUCCAUCUAGGGUUCAUGGAAAAUCCCCAGCCAGCUGCAGAAGACUAAUGCAAAUCCUAUGGUCAAGAUGAAUAAUGAUAUGAUAAAGUUCUGACCUUGCUGAGAAAUACAUCUGAGGUCAAGAUACCCAAUGUGAUGACCUGUAACCUUUAUGAAAAACCAACAUCCUGUUGACAUCAGCUGACACACGAAUACUGUGUCCUUGGCCUGCGUAAAUGUUUCCCACCUGCCCACUCUCUCUGUUACCCCUGCUAUGGUAUAAACUCAGCCUUGGGGAAAAAAUAAAAUUGUCACCUUGAUCAGA
Rattus norvegicus (Norway rat) is the source of this 1345-nucleotide non-coding RNA. The record is from RefSeq and is a predicted model, not a curated record. Lineage: Eukaryota; Metazoa; Chordata; Mammalia; Rodentia; Muridae.